AGGCGUUCGUAUAAUUUAUAGUACUUUUCAUAAGCCGGAAUGAUAAUCGUAUACCACUUGAGGUAAAUCUAUACGACAUGAGUUGUAUAUGAUUCUUAUCAUGGCGUGAACGCGUAUAAGUUGUCACAUUUCAAAUUGUCCGCGAUUUCUAGCGAUCAUACUUGAUCUAAAGCGCAUUUGAUCAUCAUAUCCUCAUGAAUCAUAUACGACUGGUCGUAUCGUGCAAAUGAUAUAGACACCAAACAUUUCGUACUAAUAACUCAACUUGCAUGUGGACUUGAGACUGAGUCUGUUAAUUUCCAUGUAGUAGUAAAGAGGGGCCCUCUUGUUAAAAUCCCAUGACAUGUCAUUUGAUGAUUUGGGCUGUAUUGUACGUUGAAAAAUGCACAAUUUUAACAUUUUAUAUCCUCAUACAGUGUACAUGUAUAUGCAACAUUUUCUUCCUACAUUGACGUCGGUGUCAUCAUUUUAGCUACUAUACUUCAAUUUCUAUUGACCAUUCUCAUUCUUUGUGCGUUUGAACUAAGUUUGUUCUAAAAUUGUAGCCUAUAUGUUAUUACCAAAUAUAUCGAAAUAACUAACAGUCGAAAUUUAAUACAAAUAAUUGAAAACCUUAUCUAUAUGACGCUGAUGACGGAAAAGAUGACUUGCCUAUCUAUGUACCUUAAUUGUUUUCCAUUUCAUUAGAGUUGUUGUUGGGUUGUCGUGAACAUACAUGUUCAUUGUUCCUGUACUUUCUGAUCCAAGUUUGAAAGGAUUUUACAAACCCUACCAUUUGAUUUUCCAUUCCAAAGAAAUACAGGAACGGAUUGCAGCAUGAGUUUAUAAAAGUGAAAGCGUUCAACCAACUCCAUACAACAAAUUCUUCGUUAUCAGUUAAACUUUUGUUCACUGCUGAAUACACUCUGAGGAUGCAAGAGGGGAGGUAAGUUGCAUAGAACAAGCACAUAAUGGCAAAAGUUGUAAGUGCACUUUUCCUUAGAAAGAAAAAUCUCAUUUGAGAUCUUCCUGAAAGUUUGGAAAUAUUUCUCGCUUGCUUUCUUGCUGUUUGCAGUAAAAUACCAUAUAUUACAGAGAGUACGACAAGCUGAGCGAAUGAUAUUGCAGACAAAAACAAUUCGUAGGCAUCAUUUUUGUCGAGGGUAAAGCUGAUACCAUGUAUGAUUCCAAGAACAAUGGCCGCUAUCCAUGAUAUCGCAAUCAAUGUCCAAGACACAUUUGAUGUUAUGAGAAUAUUAUUCCUCAAAGGCCAAAUGACAGCUAUGAAUCGGUCGAUUGCGAUACAUGUAAUGGCAUUGCCUGUUGAAAAAAUACACACGACAAACAAGGACGCGUGUAUAUACAUAUAUUCAGUCGCCUUUCGUAAUGUGAGCAAUUGUGUACGCCAAGGAAGAUACGUUGUUAAAGCGAUGAAGUCGGAUAUGGCUAAAUUUAUAAUCAUUUUAUCCGAAGCAGUGCGUCGUUUGUGGUGACGAGAAACAAUCAAAUAAAUGAUUACACAUAAAUUUGCUGUAGUUCGAACCAAUAUUUGUGAAGAAAUGAAAACUACCAACCAUGUUGAAUGUUGUGAAUUUAGAAGCUUCGUUUCUUCAGUCAUUUUUUAUUUUGGCAUUGACGACAAAUAAUGAUAAUUGAUCAUUUGAAAGUAUGAUGAUCAGUUACUUCCAAAAAGGUACAAAUUCCCCUGAAUUUCCGACAUCUGCAAUUUACAUCUGCGUCAUUUUGGCCGCUUUUCAACAAUCGCUCCAGGGGAAAAACGAGUCAAUUGGAACCAAUCGGUUCCUCUCGGCUGGAGGG
RNAcentral lists this long non-coding RNA (1797 nucleotides) under Paramuricea clavata. The record is from RNAcentral. Lineage: Eukaryota; Metazoa; Cnidaria; Anthozoa; Malacalcyonacea; Plexauridae.